RNAcentral lists this ribosomal RNA (311 nucleotides) under uncultured eukaryote. RNAcentral's name for it is "partial large subunit ribosomal RNA". It matches the Rfam family "Eukaryotic large subunit ribosomal RNA", at positions 40 to 350 of the family's 3401-position model. The record is from RNAcentral.
AUAUCAGUAAGCGGAGGAAAAGAAAUUAACUAAGAUUGCCUCAGUAGCGGCGAGCGAAGUGGCAUAAGCUCAAACUUAAAAUCUGGGACCUUCGGUCUCCGAAUUGUAAUCUAAAGGGUAUGAUAAAAGGUUGGAUAGAGGAAUAAGUCUCCUGGAACGGAGCACCAGAGAGGGUGAAAGUCCCGUAUUGGUCCUCUUGAAAACCGAAUGUCUAACCUCAUAGAGUCGGGUUGUUUGGGAUUGCAGCCCUAAAUGGGAGAUAAACUUCUUCUAAGGCUAAAUAUUUAUGGGAGACCGAUAGCGCACAAGUA